UACGAAGGGGGCUAGCGUUGUUCGGAAUCACUGGGCGUGAAGGGCGCGUAGGCGGCUUUAUAAGUCGGGGGUGAAAGCCUGUGGCUCAACCACAGAAUUGCCUUCGAUACUGUAGAGCUUGAGACCGGAAGAGGUAAGUGGAACUGCGAGUGUAGAGGUGAAAUUCGUAGAUAUUCGCAAGAACACCAGUGGCGAAGGCGGCUUACUGGUCCGGUUCUGACGCUGAGGCGCGAAAGCGUGGGGAGCAAACAGG
This 253-nucleotide ribosomal RNA is filed under the name uncultured bacterium. RNAcentral describes it as "partial 16S ribosomal RNA". It matches the Rfam family "Bacterial small subunit ribosomal RNA", at positions 524 to 776 of the family's 1533-position model. The record is from RNAcentral.